GGUCGCCCGCUCUCUGGCGUCCGCGCAUCGAUGGACGUGAGAAGACGCUGAGCUGUACAGGGUUUUGGCAGCUACUAUAUCGGUGAAGCGCUGUCUUGUCACAGAAACGCAGAUAUAGGUGGCUCCUCCACAGCGCAGCCAGAGAGAAACCAGACGCACCGAGAAGCCGCCG
Long non-coding RNA from Schistocerca cancellata (South American locust), 172 nucleotides. RefSeq lists it as uncharacterized. The record is from RefSeq and is a predicted model, not a curated record. The transcript is spliced from 4 exons. Lineage: Eukaryota; Metazoa; Arthropoda; Insecta; Orthoptera; Acrididae.